AUGAGUUCACCUCUCCGAAUCCCAUGCAUCCCGGCAUUCCGAAUUGAUCCCAGCUAACUUUGAGUGAUUUCCGUUGUCUAUACUUCAUCUCCCAAGUCAUUCACAGCCUUCCCGAACUUCUCAGCCGAUUAUAGAACUCAUCCUUAUCCCUAUUCUUCGCGUAUUCAUCCCAACGGCUUUCUUCUCAUCCUCUUCUCCGGAUCACUUGAAUCUUCCAAAGCCCCUGCAUCCCGACUCAUCUCUCAUCUUCGGAUCAAGCCAGUGAACCCGAAUCCCAGCAUCUUCAUCUCGUCUGCCCAAGCUUGAUCUCAUUCGUGAUGACCAUCCAGGAUCCAUGACAGCAUCCCGAGCUUCACGGAUCAGAGCCUCUAUCUUCCACGGAUGGUUCCCAGUUCAUUCCCAGCCAUCCGCAUUCCCCUCGGCGUUAAAGAAGUAAUCAGCUUCAGCCAUCCGGCCGAGAUCCUCUCAACGUCCAACCUCUCGCAUCCCAGCAUCUAGAAGCCAGCUUCAUUCUCCCACGGAUAAACCCAGCAUCCCAACCGUUCUUCUUCGCAUCCCGAGAGGCCAAGUUCCUCAUCGGAAGAAGAAGAAGCUUGGCUCUUCUCAGGGAGUUCCCACAAGAAUAAAAGGAGAGAGAGAAGACUUUGGGGCAUUUCAGGUACCCUAGGGGAAAACGUCAAGCCGAAUCGGGAAGGGCCCGAUUUCAUAUCCGCCGUCCAUCCUGGAAAUGCAUAUAAACUUUAGAAUGCGGAUGGUGAUGAACUACCCGAUCCCUGGAAGGCCAUCUACCUCAAGAGGUACUACGCGUAGGCCAACCUUUGUUUGGAUUCACAUUUUGGCCUUACCUCGAGAGAACUUUGUUAUGUUUCCGAGUCUAAAGAGUAGGGCAUAUGUUUGUUGUCUAAGUUCUAAAAGAUAGCAAGCUAGUGCAUUCAUUCAUUAGUACUUCACCAGC
This 955-nucleotide long non-coding RNA is filed under the name Phoenix dactylifera (date palm). RNAcentral describes it as "long non-coding RNA (PDAC_LNC007419)". Lineage: Eukaryota; Viridiplantae; Streptophyta; Magnoliopsida; Arecales; Arecaceae. The record is from RNAcentral.